CAGGCGGUUUGUUAAGCUAGAUGUGAAAGCCCCGGGCUCAACCUGGGAUGGUCAUUUAGAACUGGCAGACUAGAGUCUUGGAGAGGGGAGUGGAAUUCCAGGUGUAGCGGUGAAAUGCGUAGAUAUCUGGAGGAACAUCAGUGGCGAAGGCGACUCCCUGGCCAAAGACUGACGCUCAUGUGCGAAAGUGUGGGUAGCGAACAGGAUUAGAUACCCUGGUAGUCCACACCGUAAACGCUGUCUACUAGCUGUGUGUGCCUUUAAGGCGUGCGUAGCGAAGCUAACGCGCUAAGUAGACCGCCUGGGGAGUACGGCCGCAAGGUUAAAACUCAAAUGAAUUGACGG
Molecule: ribosomal RNA, 345 nt
Filed under: uncultured bacterium
Lineage: Bacteria
Description: bacterial SSU rRNA
Rfam family: Bacterial small subunit ribosomal RNA
Source: RNAcentral